Vicia faba (fava bean) is the source of this 267-nucleotide non-coding RNA. Lineage: Eukaryota; Viridiplantae; Streptophyta; Magnoliopsida; Fabales; Fabaceae. The record is from the annotation of a GenBank genome assembly.
AUGCACGAAGUUGUUUUGAUUGGAUUAAAUUUUCAGGUUCGUUUCAAUGACACUAGCGUAGAACCACCUCACUUUGCGACAGGGCGGUUUGGAGGAGACAAUGCCAUAGCAAGACAUGGAAUUCAUGGAUUGUAUUGGUUGUUUAGCAUUGAUGUUCCAAGUUAUGUUCUUGUGAAAGGACAAAAUAUCAUCUAUUUGAAGCAGUCAAGAGCGAUUAAUCCUUUUCAAGGAGUUAUGUAUGAUUAUAUUCGGUUAGAACGACCUUAG